UACGAAGGGGGCUAGCGUUGCUCGGAAUUACUGGGCGUAAAGCGCACGUAGGCGGAUUGUUAAGUCGGGGGUGAAAUCCUGGAGCUCAACUCCAGAACUGCCUUCGAUACUGGCGAUCUCGAGUUCGGGAGAGGUGAGUGGAACUGCGAGUGUAGAGGUGAAAUUCGUAGAUAUCAGGAGGAACACCGGUGGCGAAGGCGGGUCUCUGGGCAACAACUGACGCUGAGGAGCGAAAGCGUGGGGAGCGAACAGG
RNAcentral lists this ribosomal RNA (253 nucleotides) under uncultured bacterium. RNAcentral describes it as "partial 16S ribosomal RNA". It matches the Rfam family "Bacterial small subunit ribosomal RNA", at positions 524 to 776 of the family's 1533-position model. The record is from RNAcentral.